RNAcentral lists this ribosomal RNA (253 nucleotides) under uncultured bacterium. Its description in RNAcentral is "partial 16S ribosomal RNA". It matches the Rfam family "Bacterial small subunit ribosomal RNA", at positions 524 to 776 of the family's 1533-position model. The record is from RNAcentral.
UACGUAGGGGGCAAGCGUUGUCCGGAAUCAUUGGGCGUAAAGCGCGCGUAGGCGGCCCGGUAAGUCCGCUGUGAAAGUCGGGGGCUCAACCCUCGAAUGCCGGUGGAUACUGUCGGGCUAGAGUGCGGGAGAGGCGAGUGGAAUUCCUGGUGUAGCGGUGAAAUGCGCAGAUAUCAGGAGGAACACCAAUUGCGAAGGCAGCUCGCUGGAACGUAACUGACGCUGAGACGCGAAAGCGUGGGGAGCAAACAGG